This 4086-nucleotide unclassified non-coding RNA is filed under the name Hevea brasiliensis (rubber tree). Lineage: Eukaryota; Viridiplantae; Streptophyta; Magnoliopsida; Malpighiales; Euphorbiaceae. The record is from RNAcentral.
GAGAAAUUAAAUUGUUACAAAUAUUAAAUCUAUAUAGGCUAAACUAUUACAAAAAGCGAAAUUUGAUGGACUAAUUUGUAAUUUACCUUAAACAGAACCAGUAACUCCAAGGCAAUUCAGUUAUUUUACAAUUUAGAAAAGCAUGCUUUGUCCUGAGCAUUCUCUAAGGCUGGUAAUAGUAUCAACAUCGUGAUCUCCUUUUUAUUGUUGGAUGUCAGUAUUCCCCUUUCCUUCCAAAAUAUUUGCUGCUUCAAUGCUAUCAUUAAUAAUCUAAUGACCCUUGAUAUAACUAAAACUUCAGAGUUCAAAAGAAGAGCUAAAGCUAGAAAAAUUGUUACAUUUUGAAGAUGCAGAGCAUGUUUGCCUAACUAGCUAAACAUAUUCUCCAGAAAUGAUGGCAUAUAAUUGCUUGGCUGUCCAUGUUGAUUCGACAAGGCUUUGCAGUGGAACUGCAAUCUCUUCUGCAAUUGUCAUUAACAAAACCCUGCAUUCUGGAAUCUUACUGAAAUUAAGCAAUGACAUUGAAGCAAGAACCUUGUGCUCGAUCCGGUGACCAUUUUCCAAGCUUUCUUUCAGAUUAGAUAUGAGGGCGGAGAAGGCAGAGAGGUGGAACUCGGCAUCAGAUAGUGCAGAAAGUGCACAGCUCAACCAUGCAAUAGUGGUUAGGCAUGCCUUCACUAAAUCUAAGUUUCCAGAAGCUAAGCACUUUGAAAUGACCUCUAAGAAUGAUUUCCUUCCAUUACCAAGUAAAGAUGUUGACAAGUUCCUGAGCCACUCAUCGAUAGUUUCUUCAUCUUCCAAUAAAAAAGAGUCAUCAAGUGAUAAAUUGUAUUCUUGAGAAUUCAUUUCAUAAUUAUUGUUAAACCCUGAUUGCUUUAGUAUCCAACUUUCUGUCAAUGACUUCCCAGAAGCAGAAAAACGUCCUCCCAAGGCAAGAAGUGCUCUGCAAGACUUUUCUCGGAUCUUCUCAUCAUUUAAACUAUCUUCUAGCGCUACUGCAAUGGCAUCAACAGCUUCCUCUCUGUAUAUGCUAUACUUCUGAGGUUCAACCAAAAGAUCAAGAUGCAAAAGAAGUAGAGCAACCCAGGGCCUUUGCUCAGGUGGAGAAUUUUGAAGAUACAUGAGCAAGAUGUGCAUUGCAUUCAUUAUCUCCUCAUUCUGCAACCCACUUAAAAAUAAUUUAACAUCCUUCCUCCUGCUAAGACAAAGUAAUUCAGUCAUCAGAAACACUGCAUUUCUUCUAGCAUUAGGAUGCUUGCUAUGGAGUAGCUCAAAGAGGCACUGUUUAUCAAUCUUUUGGGCUAUCUGAUUUCUGCAACUUCCAUCUGCUUCGAUACAACAGGAUAAGAAAGCUACCACUCGCGUUUUCUCUUCCACAUUUCCCAAUUUAAUCCGUCUAAUAAGAAAUUCCAAGCCUCCUAUAGAGACAAGGUGUUUGGCAUUUGCUAAUCUUUCCUUCCUUCUGAAAGUAGUAAGAAGCCUCUCUAAUAUAAGCAUUGCAGUUUUAUCCCUUUGCCUUGAGUCAUGCUUUCCUGAAUUCCUAAAUAUUUGAGAGGCAAGAGCCAAUAGAUGACUACAAUGCUCUAAUUUCCAACCAUCAAUAAUACGCUUCAAAAUAAAAUUUGUAAAUGGCACAGUUGGACAUUCCAAAGUUUUCCCUGUUACAGGACAUGUUCUGUUUCCCAGAUUAAACCAUUCCCUGAUAACUUCUUUCUCAAAGGUUUGUCCAGUCUCCAGGGUCACUGGUUCCUCAAAUAACUUUCCAGAGAGGGGACAAAUGAAGUCCUCAGGUAUGCUUGCAAGAAAGGAUCCUUUAUCAAAAUAUUCAUAGGUUCCAUCUAACUCUUCAUAAGAAGCCAAUGCAUUGACAGGCUCACUGGUGUGUGAAAGAGCAGAAACAGUUAGAUCACCAGAAUCCUCAGUUUGUUGCAGUUCAAAAACCGAUUUUGCUAGGUUUUUGAGGAUCAACUCAUUUGAUUUUGUAUGUGAAAACGUGUUUACCAUAUGACCAUCUCCUGCAUUUUCUUCUUGUCCAUUAGAGUUACACCUCUUACUAUUGAUGUCAGCUUCUAGAAAAGCACUCGCUUUAAUCAACUUCCAUUCUUCCUUAGAUGCUGAUAAGAGCCCAUGAUCAGAAAGGAUUGUGUUAUCUUGUUCAUUCUUGCAGUAAUCAUUGUCCAUAUCCUGAUCCAGAUAUUUAACAAUUUCUGAAGGAUAUGUCAAUGUUUGUUUGACUUCAGCAGCAGAACCAUCAGAGGAUGUUGCAACAUUAUUGAAGUUAUGUGCCUCCCCAUCAUAUUCAGCCUCAUAAAUUUCAGGUUUACUUGAAUGGCCAAAUACAGAUUCAUACAGCUUCUUACUAACCAUUGGCUGAGGUGAGAAAUUAUCAGAAGAUCUACUGAGACCUGAAGAAUGAUCCUGUGAAUCUGGCUGCUGAACUUCCCGAACAGACAAGGUAGGGAUAUGUAUAGAAGGAAGCGAAGGGGCUUCAACCCCCUCAGUAAGCCAGUCCUUGUAGUAAACUGCCAGCUGGUAAGUACUGGAAUCCAGAAUUUCAUUAUAAACUUUGUCAAGAAGUUUAAGUUUCCUCAUCUUGCUUGGUGUGUUCAGAAGAGAAUCAGCUUCCUGAUUGUACCAUCCCUUCAAAUGUGAAAGAUGUGGAAAAAAAAGAUAGUCCCACAGUUCAGGCAACAAAAGUGUUCGAGCUGGAAAUGGAGAAUCACAAAAUACUUGCAAAAGAUAUCUAGCUGAAACCCUAUCCUUCUUCUGUAGCUUAUAUAUCACACUGAGGUAAAGAUGAGCACAAGCUGACAGCCUGGAAUUCGGAAUUCCUGAUGUAUAUCCAUCUUUCAAACCAUUCGAGUUCAAACUUGUGAUCAUGCGUAGCUGCAGUGAAGCUUUUUUCAAAUCCUUUGUGCUUGCAGCCUCCUCAGUAGCCUUUUCCACUAUUUCAAUUGCUUGUUCAAGAUUGGUAAUGACUUUGCUCUUAAUGUUGUGGUCUUGUCCAUUUUCCAUAAAAUUAAGGGAAGAGAAACAAUUGUGACAAAGCGUGCUACGGAAUUCCUCAUCUUUCAGGAAACGCUUAAUGUAACCAUUUAAGAUGGAGACCAUGGCUCUGACAGCAACUUCAUCAAGAGCAAGUUUAGAAAAUGGAAGUGAAAGAUUCUCAUGCUUCAUUCCCUGAUCAUCUUCAAAGUUCUUGGCAUUCUUGGAACUUCUAAUGGAACUGUCAUAAGAUGGAUCAGGCUGUCUCAUGGUUUUCUUAUUGCUAUCAGUAAAUGCAGUAUAUUUUAGCAAAUUUUUGUUAGAAUUGCUACUUCCUGUCUGAUCUACUUUUAUAUUGUUUCCUUUCCUUUCUAUGUACAUCUGCUUCCCCCUAUUUCCUUCAGAGGAUUUCUCACUCCUCUCUGAAUUAUAUGCUCUAUCAGAAUAUAUAUCCUUAACUCUCUCAUCUUCUUCCACACCAAUCUCAGUUAUUUCACAGCCAUCAAUAUCUUCUGAAUUAAGUGUCUUAUUAUUCUGGACAUCGUUUGAAACUCGGUGGACAGGUCUUUCCCAGGUUUCUAUCUUUGAUUUUCCAUCUAUUUUUUCCCUUGAAACCAGAUUAUCCCUAGGUCUCCUGCUUAAGCUACUAUCACUUCUUGGCAAUUCACCUCUCAAAAUGUAUCGAGAAACAUCAGAUCUGGUCCUUUCAGUCUUAAUUCUGCGGCCUGAUAGACCUGAUGGAGAGUCGGUCUUUGAUUUGUCUCGAGAAGGGUGAAGAGACUUAAUCACAGCUUCUGCUCGGAAUGAAGCUCUUGAUGUCAUCCCUGAUCUUCUUCCUCUAAACCCUUCCUCUACAAGAAGGUCCUCCAAAGAUGAUGCCAUUUCUGCUGAUAACAGAAUCUACCUCACAUGAAGCUACUUUUCACGAUCGAAUAUCAAACAAAUCGCAUUAUUUUUGCGAAACAACUUGUGGGUUCGACUUCUUUUGCGAUGAUUAGAGGGAAUGUAGGAGAAUAUUAGGAGGGGAGGAGAAGGGAAUAAAGAAGAUGCUUGAUGAGCAAAACCCAUUCAAAAAAAGGUGGUGUGCGUUGUCUAUAAAGC